CCUACGGGAGGCAGCAGUGAGGAAUAUUGGUCAAUGGGCGAGAGCCUGAACCAGCCAAGUCGCGUGAGGGAGUACUGCCCUAUGGGUUGUAAACCUCUUUUGUCGGGGAGCAAAAGCCGGACGUGUCCGGCUGUGAGAGUACCCGAAGAAAAAGCAUCGGCUAACUCCGUGCCAGCAGCCGCGGUAAUACGGAGGAUGCGAGCGUUAUCCGGAUUUAUUGGGUUUAAAGGGUUCGCAGGCGGAUUUUUACGUCAGCGGUAAAAUCGUGGGGCUCAACCCCAUCCAGCCGUUGAAACUGGGGAUCUAGAGUGUGCGAGAGGUAUGCGGAAUGCGUGGUGUAGCGGUGAAAUGCAUAGAUAUCACGCAGAACCCCGAUUGCGAAGGCAGCAUACCGGUGCACAACUGACGCUCAGGCACGAAAGCGUGGGUAUCGAACAGGAUUAGAUACCCGUGUAGUC
This 458-nucleotide ribosomal RNA is filed under the name uncultured bacterium. RNAcentral's name for it is "partial 16S ribosomal RNA". It matches the Rfam family "Bacterial small subunit ribosomal RNA", at positions 338 to 795 of the family's 1533-position model. The record is from RNAcentral.